This 253-nucleotide ribosomal RNA is filed under the name uncultured bacterium. Its description in RNAcentral is "partial 16S ribosomal RNA". It matches the Rfam family "Bacterial small subunit ribosomal RNA", at positions 524 to 776 of the family's 1533-position model. The record is from RNAcentral.
UACGUAGGGUGCAAGCGUUAAUCGGAAUUACUGGGCGUAAAGCGUGCGCAGGCGGCUAUGCAAGACAGAUGUGAAAUCCCCAGGCUCAACCUGGGAACUGCAUUUGUGACUGCAUGGCUAGAGUACGGUAGAGGGGGAUGGAAUUCCGCGUGUAGCAGUGAAAUGCGUAGAUAUGCGGAGGAACACCGAUGGCGAAGGCAAUCCCCUGGACCUGUACUGACGCUCAUGCACGAAAGCGUGGGGAGCAAACAGG